This 614-nucleotide ribosomal RNA is filed under the name uncultured bacterium. Its description in RNAcentral is "bacterial SSU rRNA". The stretch from base 1 to 532 matches the Rfam family "Bacterial small subunit ribosomal RNA", at positions 338 to 873 of the family's 1533-position model. The record is from RNAcentral.
CCUACGGGAGGCAGCAGUGGGGAAUUUUGGACAAUGGGCGCAAGCCUGAUCCAGCCAUGCCGCGUGCAGGACGAAGGCCUUCGGGUUGUAAACUGCUUUUGUACGGAACGAAAAGGUCUUUUUUAAUAAAGAGGGCCCAUGACGGUACCGUAAGAAUAAGCACCGGCUAACUACGUGCCAGCAGCCGCGGUAAUACGUAGGGUGCAAGCGUUAAUCGGAAUUACUGGGCGUAAAGCGUGCGCAGGCGGUAAUGUAAGACAGAUGUGAAAUCCCCGGGCUCAACCUGGGAACUGCAUUUGUGACUGCAUUGCUGGAGUGCGGCAGAGGGGGAUGGAAUUCCGCGUGUAGCAGUGAAAUGCGUAGAUAUGCGGAGGAACACCGAUGGCGAAGGCAAUCCCCUGGGCCUGCACUGACGCUCAUGCACGAAAGCGUGGGGAGCAAACAGGAUUAGAUACCCUGGUAGUCCACGCCCUAAACGAUGUCACUGUUGUUGGUCUUCAUNUAUCAGUACGAGACACGCGUGAGUGACGCGNGGAGGACGGCGCGAGUAGAACGUACGAAGUAGAGUUAGUACGGACGUGAGACGUUGCGACGGACGACGACGAGGGAGGAGG